AUUGAACGCUGGCGGCAUGCUUUACACAUGCAAGUCGAACGGUAACAGGCCUUCGGGUGCUUCCGAGGGGUGGACGGUUGAGUAAUGCAUCGGAACGUGCCCGGAUGUGGGUUAUAACGCAGCGAAACCUGUGCUAAUACCGCCUGUGAUCGCAGGAUGAAAGCGGGGGACAAGGGGGCAUCGUUUGGCCUCGCGCCUUUGAAUGGGCCGAUGUCGGAUUAGGUAGUUGGGGGGGUAAAGGCCUACCAAGCCGACGAUCUGUAGCUGGUCUGAGAGGACGACCGGCAACACUGGAACUGGGAAACGGCCAAGACUCCUACGGGAGCCAGCAGUGGGAAAUUUUGGACAAGGGGGGAAGGCCUGACCAAGCAAUGCGGCGUGGGGGAAGAAGGCUUUCGGGUUGUAAACCGCUUUUGUGCGGAACGAAAAGACUAUGGCUAAUCCCCGGGGUUGAGGACGGUACCGAAAGAAUAAGCACCGGUUAACUACGG
This 491-nucleotide ribosomal RNA is filed under the name uncultured bacterium. RNAcentral's name for it is "partial 16S ribosomal RNA". It matches the Rfam family "Bacterial small subunit ribosomal RNA", at positions 29 to 506 of the family's 1533-position model. The record is from RNAcentral.